Balaenoptera acutorostrata (minke whale) is the source of this 2428-nucleotide long non-coding RNA. RefSeq lists it as uncharacterized. Lineage: Eukaryota; Metazoa; Chordata; Mammalia; Artiodactyla; Balaenopteridae. The transcript is spliced from 3 exons. The record is from RefSeq and is a predicted model, not a curated record.
GGAUUCUCCCAACAGCCCGAAUGAGGGAAGACAGGACCCUGAGCUCCAGGAGAACGUGGCCUGGUGACACCCUGAUUUCAGCCUGUCGAGACCCUGGGCAGGGGACCAGGCCCUCUGCACCGGACUCCUGAUGCACGGCGGUCGUGACAUAACAAGUGCGUGUUGCUUUAAGCCACUAAGUAUGAGGUUAAUCUGUUACCCAACACAAAAAACUAAUGCUGAUCCAAAUGUGGAGAAAGAUGAGGGCAAGUUCCAGACUGGAGGAAUGUCUUCACUGGCAAAGGGAUGGAGGUGCAGCAGAGGAGGGUUUAGGAGUGGAUUCUGGCAACACCGCCUGGGCAAGCUUCAGGCAGGAGAGACACGGCGGAGAGGACCUACCCCUGGCCAGGGGCUGGCACCACUGUCACUUAUAAAUGACACCACAGGGAUAAACUACAACAACGGAAGCCACGGAGAAGCGUGAGCCUCCUCGGAUGAUCUGUUUAAAAGAUGAAUGGAUAAAAAUAUCCAAAAUGAGAUCUCGAAAGGAAAAGUUAUAAGAACAAAGCACUCCCCCCCGACACAGUGGUGCCAGACUUUCAAGAAAAUCACGUGACUAGCGAACACGGAUUACAAGCUGAACUGACCUCUUUAUUUCUAUGACAGCCAAUACAUUUCCAAGCCUGGAAAAUCAGUGUCAUUAUCUAUGGGGUUUCAGAAAACGACCACAAGCUCCUGCAUAUCCUCCCCUGGAAUCCCAGUGGGCUGUGACUGCUUCAACCCACAGGGUGUGAGGGAAGCGAUGCUACGUGACUUCCGAGGUUACGUUAGAAAAAGCCACCCAGCUAGUGCCUGGUUGCUUGGAAUGCCCGCUCUCCAGACACUCCCUCCCAGGAAUCUCCCUCCAGAACACCCUCUCUUAGAACCCAGCCGCUGAGCUCCGAGCAGCAGUCACACGCAGAGGCCACGCGAGGCACUCCAACGGACAGUCCCAGGUGAACCCCGUCAUCCUAGCCUCGAGGCAGGCAGGUGAGUGACGCAGAUUCAGGAGGAUUCCAUGUGCAGCAUGAACAGAGAAAAACAAAAAACUAUAACAGAACGUUAACAAAUGGAACCCAGCAAUACACAAAAGGACAUUAUAUCACGACUGGAUUUAUCCCAGGAAUACAAGGUUAGCUCAACAUAUGAAAACCAAUCAGUGUAAUUCAUUUAAUAAGCUGCUUAAAAAAGAAAACAUGAUCAUCUCAAUAGAUGCAGAAAAAGCAACUGGCAAAAUUCAACAUCCAUUCAUUAUAAAAACUCUCAGCAAAUGAGGAACACAGGGGACUUCUUCAAUCUAAUAAAAGACACAAUAAAAAACCAACAGCUAAUAUUAUACUCAAUGGUGAAAGGCUGGUUGCUUUGCCCUCAGGGUCAGGUUGAAGAGAAGGAUGUCUACUCUUGCUAUUUCUAUUUCUGUCUGAGUUCCCAGCUAGUGAAAAAAAAGGUAAAGAAGAAAUAAAAACAGCUUAAUAGAUUGGAAAGGAAAGAGUAACACUGCCUUUUUUUGUAGAUGGCAUGAUUGUUUACAUAAAAAUUCCUCGGGAACACACUUGACAGGUAACAAAUACAUGAAUUUAGGAAGAUCACAAUAUACAAUAAUCCAUGGUGUGUAUGACUCGGGGCCUCAGUCCCACCUGGCUGCCAGUGAGGACAGGCCUGAGAGGACGCCAGGCUCAGGCCAGCAAGGGGCCAUCCCAUCAGCACCUGAAAACCCAACCACCUUGUGUGUCGAAGCUCAAGGACUAGACCUUCAUGAGGAGCAGGGAACAGCUGGCCUCCAGCUUCCUACCACUGCCCACAACCUUUGAUUCUCACAAUCAUUCUUACUGAAAAGCCUGCUUGUGACAAUCAAUUACCAGGAAGGGCUGUAAGAAAGGGCGUCUAUUUGCUGAGCUGUACCAAAUUUUGUUUUUGAAACACUCUGUUUUGGUCCCAUCUAGAUCUGCUUCUUCUGAAUUGCAGCCCCUGCAUUGAGCUAUCGGCCUAUUGCAUUCGUAAGGUGCCAGGAACUCCUUGUCAAGAAACUCCUUGUCAAGAAUGCCAGUCACUAGGUCACUUAGUCUUCUUACGAGUCUUCAUGAAAUAAGCUGAUCUCAGAUCUAAGAAAAUGGGAACAGGAGAAGCUUCUUGCUCGUGAACAACUGGACUGUUUUCAGUUUAAGGAUAUCGCGACUUACAGAACUGAUCCUAAUCCACUCCUUACUUUGGCCCCGUGGACGCUUAAAGCCAUCCUUACAAGGUCACCUCUACAACAAGAGUUUAUCCAUCAUAUUAUGAGGUGACAUGAGAGACACCAUUUCGGAAAAGACAUCUCGGAAAGGAGAGAAUUGGAACAUAAAAGAAAGGAAUGACGGGAAAACUGAAUGUUCUGUCCCCUCACCCUGCCUCCGUCACUGUCACCGAGCUU